RNAcentral lists this ribosomal RNA (422 nucleotides) under uncultured bacterium. Its description in RNAcentral is "bacterial SSU rRNA". It matches the Rfam family "Bacterial small subunit ribosomal RNA", at positions 358 to 773 of the family's 1533-position model. The record is from RNAcentral.
GGAAUCUUGGACAAUGGGGGCAACCCUGAUCCAGCAAUGCCGCGUGUGUGAAGAAGGCCUGCGGGUUGUAAAGCACUUUCAGAGGGGAAGAAAAACUCGGAGAUAACAUCUCCGGUCUUGACGUUACCCUUAGAAGAAGCACCGGCUAACUCCGUGCCAGCAGCCGCGGUAAUACAGAGGGUGCAAGCGUUAAUCGGAAUUACUGGGCGGAAAGCGCGCGUAGGUGGGUUGUUAAGUUGGAUGUGAAAGCCCCGGGCUCAACCUGGGAACUGCAUUCAAAACUGACAAGCUAGAGUAUGGUAGAGGGUGGUGGAAUUUCCUGUGUAGCGGUGAAAUGCGUAGAUAUAGGAAGGAACACCAGUGGCGAAGGCGACCACCUGGACUGAUACUGACACUGAGGUGCGAAAGCGUGGGGAGCAAAC